GGGGCUGUGGCUUAGUGGUACAGCAUCUGCACGGUAUGCAGAAAGUCCCCAGUUCGAUCCUUGGUAUCUUCA
Molecule: transfer RNA, 72 nt
Filed under: Sphaerodactylus townsendi
Lineage: Eukaryota; Metazoa; Chordata; Lepidosauria; Squamata; Sphaerodactylidae
Description: tRNA-Thr
Rfam family: tRNA
About the family: Transfer RNA (tRNA) molecules are approximately 80 nucleotides in length. Their secondary structure includes four short double-helical elements and three loops (D, anti-codon, and T loops).
Source: RNAcentral